AGGUGCGGGAAGCCAUGUUGAUCGGACAUCACCGUUGCUUUGACUUUACUAUGAAGUUCAGGUUCUCAUCUUCCACAUCACGCAUAGAUCAGUUCUCGAUCUUCAGUUCAGCAACAUCGGUGGUGAGUCCUCAUUCUUCGAGGAUGAGUGACAUGAUUAUGUUUCUUUGCUAUCAGUUUUGGUGGAUUUAGCUGGGGUAUGUCCGAUCACUUCUAGUCAGUUUAGAGGCUUAUUUCACAAAUUGUUGUAUUCAACUUUAGUAUUUGAGUUUUACUUUUCAGUUGUUGUUAAACUCUCAGUUUUCCUAUAUUCAGAUUUAGUAUAUGGGUGUUCCC
This is a non-coding RNA of Solanum lycopersicum (tomato), 335 nucleotides long. Lineage: Eukaryota; Viridiplantae; Streptophyta; Magnoliopsida; Solanales; Solanaceae. The record is from RefSeq and is a predicted model, not a curated record.